AACGCUCUGGUAAGCACCCGAGGCAAGAGGUCCCAGCAAGGAAGACCUCCGUGUGGAUGGCCGUGGCUGUGAGGACUACCGAUGUGUCGAAGUGGAAACUGAUGUGGUGUCCAACACUAGUGGGUCCGCCAGGGUCAAGCUGGGUCACACAGACAUCUUGGUGGGAGUGAAAGCAGAAAUGGGGACGCCGAAGCUGGAGAAACCAAAUGAAGGCUACUUGGAGUUCUUCGUUGACUGUUCAGCCAGUGCUACCCCUGAAUUUGAAGGUAGAGGAGGUGAUGACCUUGGCACCGAGAUCGCUAACACCCUCUAUCGGAUAUUUAACAAUAAAAGCAGUGUCGACCUAAAGACCCUCUGCAUUAGUCCUCGGGAGCACUGCUGGGUUCUCUAUGUGGAUGUGCUGCUUCUGGAAUGUGGUGGAAAUUUGUUUGAUGCCAUUUCCAUUGCUGUAAAGGCUGCUCUCUUCAAUACAAGGAUACCAAGGGUUCGAGUUUUGGAGGAUGAAGAGGGGUCGAAGGACAUUGAAUUGUCUGAUGACCCUUAUGACUGCAUACGACUA
This 559-nucleotide small RNA is filed under the name Pan troglodytes (chimpanzee). Its description in RNAcentral is "processed transcript". Lineage: Eukaryota; Metazoa; Chordata; Mammalia; Primates; Hominidae. The record is from RNAcentral.